Pelobates cultripes (western spadefoot toad) is the source of this 416-nucleotide non-coding RNA. The record is from the annotation of a GenBank genome assembly. Lineage: Eukaryota; Metazoa; Chordata; Amphibia; Anura; Pelobatidae.
CUGGGAAUACUGAAAUGCUUUCAUUGCCUUGGGUCCAGUACUACUUCAUGCUGGUAACUAUUUGUUCUGUCGCACAUAAUGUCACACACACUCUCCCACAUAACACACACUUUGUCAUGCGUGAAGACAUGAGCUCACACACUAAUCCAUCCCCCAGGUCCAAGCCUUGCAUAGCUUGCACUGGGCACUCACACUCACAAUGGAUGGCCUGGGGGGGAGGGGGAGUAGAGACAGUUUGUGGAGGAGCCCCCCUUCCCUCCCUCCUCCUGAAUCUGCAAAACAAAGCCCCAGAGCUUGGCAUGGGGGAGGGAGGGAGGGAGCUCUGCAGGGGGCAGCUAUACAUGUGUAUAUGAAAGCCCAGGCUGGGGACUUCACAUCACAAUAUGUCAAAGCUUAGUAAAUACAUGAAAACAUGG